RNAcentral lists this unclassified non-coding RNA (355 nucleotides) under soil metagenome. RNAcentral's name for it is "partial contains 5.8S ribosomal RNA, internal transcribed spacer 2, and large subunit ribosomal RNA". The stretch from base 1 to 120 matches the Rfam family "5.8S ribosomal RNA", at positions 35 to 154 of the family's 154-position model. The record is from RNAcentral.
GAUGAAGAACGCAGCGAAAUGCGAUAAGUAAUGUGAAUUGCAGAAUUCAGUGAAUCAUCGAAUCUUUGAACGCACAUUGCGCCCGCCAGUAUUCUGGCGGGCAUGCCUGUCCGAGCGUCAUUUCAACCCUCGAACCCCUCCGGGGGGUCGGCGUUGGGGAUCGGCCCUGCCUCUUGGCGGUGGCCGUCUCCGAAAUACAGUGGCGGUCUCGCCGCAGUCUCUCCUGCGCAGUAGUUUGCACACUCGCAUCGGGAGCGCGGCGCGUCCACAGUCGUUAAACACCCAACUUCUGAAAUGUUGACCUCGGAUCAGGUAGGAAUACCCGCUGAACUUAAGCAUAUCAAUAAGCGGAGGA